AACCUGAGAUAAAAUCUGGACGGUAAUAAUUGAUGAAAGCUUCUAGAAGCAGAGGUUGAGAGCGGUUUUCCUUUCCUUGGAUUUCUCCCCAUGUCGCCGGUCAAACCCACUCUUCUUCUCUUUCUCUGCUCAAAAACAAUUCAUAGUUUUCCCAAUUUCUAUUUCGGUUCCCAAGCACUGGAGCAUAUUCAAAAAUCCGCUCAUCUUACAAUCCUUUGGAGUGGUUUGGUGGAUUGGUGUUCAGAUUUCCUCUCGCCGCAUUUUUGACUAGGUUAUUUCAAUCGAAAUCGACGGCGACGGUGGACUUGAAACCGAUGAUAAUUAGGGUUUAAUUGUUGAGUUAAGUGAAAUCCCAGGUUAUAUCUUCGUCAAGAUGGUGAUUCGAACAUCCAGUGAAAAGGGGUUAGGGUGAAAUGCAAGUCCACUGAAGGGCAGGUUCAAAUGCACUUGACCACAUUAGAAUCUUAUGAAGCCGAGCCGUGUUGGAAAAAAGGUGGUGAAGUCUAUAGACUUUUUUGAUGUUGGAGGCCAAAGAAACGAACGGAAGGAACCAGACGAGGGGAAUUUAUUUAUCUGAAAGGCGUUAGAGCUGUCAUAUAUUGUGUUGCUAUAAUAUAUUCUUAUGUUCCUCAUAAUCUCAACUACUUUCUAGGCUAAUCUUAACCAUUCAAAGUCCCUAACUUUUAAUCAUGACCCUUUAAAAUCAAACUUUUCUUCCAGAAGCAGCAGUUAGUAGCAGUUCCACCCUCUCCCUCCUCAAAACUGCAGUUGUCGUCUCCCCCUUUUUUUCCUCCCCGUGUCGCCUACCUCCAUAUAUAACCUAUCAUGAAAUUGAAGACGAUGAUGAGUCCAGAGAUGUAUACAUAUUUUCUUUUAGAUUUCUCCUAAGGUAGCUUUCAGAUUCUGCAUAAAUUCUUUCAUUAGUUAAUUUUUAAUUAGUGUUGUUAUACGAAUUCUGCUGCUUGUCCGUUGCUGCUCGAUUUCGUCGUUUUAUAUCUCAAUCACAACAAAGGAAACCGUUGCACCAACAAUCGAAGUAUUGGAGCAGCAUUUAUUAAUAUUUGUUUGUUGUGUCGCCGCAACCACCGAUCGGGUUGCAUAGACCAAGCUAGCAUUGGAAUUGCAGAAAAAUGGGGCCGGCUCGAGAUAUUGGCUGAGCCAGGGAUCAAUUUCUUCGACCCUUGGGCCGGGGGAACCGAUUGAAAGCCGUAGGAAAUUGAAGGGUUCUCGUCGGGUUUGAUCUUAAAAUCUAGUGCUGCUGAUUAUUGAAGGCAAGAAGAGAGAAGAUCAAUACUCAGAUGAAGCUUCUUCAAUAGCAGUUUUCAGAUUUCAGCCACCAACACUGAAAGAAAAACAAAAUUAUGUUGAAGUUUUUGUCGAAAGUGAAGAUCGAAUUUAACGCCCUAGACCCACGCGCGGCUGCUUGCAUGGAAUUCUUGUCUCAGCGCAAUGCUCGAACCGCCAAGGAGUCAAACCAACCAUGCCAACUACUGCUCAAACGCCCACUGAUAGCUUCCCACCCCAGAUAAUCAUGGAGAACAUAAUCUUGUUGCUUGAUUAUAACGGCUGUAGUAGAUAUUGGCUGUGGCUCAGGAAUCCUUUCAAUAUUUUGUGCUCAAGCAUGAGCAAAACAAGUUUAUAGUGGAUGCGAUUGAGAUAGCUUUGCAGGCAAAGAUUGAGUGAGCAGGAGAACUUUUGCGAUUUAGAACUUGUGUUAGGUAUAUAUUUCGAGGCCACGAAGCAAGAAUAAAAGCAUAGAAAUGAUUGAGGCAUUAGGAAACCUUUUUAAUUUAGCCAUUUUUUUUAUUCAUCUCCCUACCCAAAUCAUUCCCCUAGUUAAACCAAUUUGAGCCUUUCCCGUUCAUUUCUUUUAAACCACAAAAUACUAGCCACUUAGCCAAAUUAGCCUUUUAUAUUUUUAACCCAUUUUUGGUCGGAAGCCCGGUUCGGUUGAUGAUUAACUUGUAGUUUUUGUAUAGUUUCUUCGUUGUUGUUAUGUACCCUCAUGAUCAAGAGUUUUUAUCUAAGACGUACUUAAUUCUCUCCUAAUCAUGGGUUAAAAAAAUAAUAAAAUAAAAAAAAAUAAAAAAAACCCAAAUAAAUAUAGAUGAAAAAAGCCUUAUCAAUCGGCUUUGUUAGAGCAAUUUUGGGAGUGAAAAGCAAUACUUGUCGGUUAGCUCUCGGUUAGUUAUUAUUUAGUUGUAUAGUCUUUUUUUUCUUGUAUUUCAAGUUAGUCGAGCCGUCGGUUUACAACCGCUUUAGCCACUUUUAAAAAAUCCACUUCCACACCCUUAACCCAAGCCAAGUUACAACACAAACAACACCUCAUGAUUUAUGCUAUGUUUUUGCCGAGUGAUUAGAUUUGAUCCUUCCACAAGCUUAUGACAUCGCAUAGUUAUCGUCUUGGCAUCGAGUGUUCUAAACAUACUCCACAAAUUGUAUGUGCACAUAUAUUUAGCCGAGUGUGUGUGAACAUUGUGAGGAUGCUUGGUGAACUUGUAGGGAUUUCUAAGAUGUACCAUUGCUCUUUUCGGUUCUUUCUUUAUAUCGAGCACUCCUUAAUUGUUAUAACCCGAGUUAUUUAUUUGUGCUUAUGAAAUGCUAGUUGAGAUGAUUGCCAUUAAGAGAGUUCCGUUAAAUUUUAGUUUGCUUGAGGACAAGCAAAGUUCAAGUGUGGGGAUGUUUGAUGUAUAAGAAUUUAUACAUAUUUUAAACGUCAAAUACGCCCUGUUUAUGCGAAAACUAUUUGUAUUUUCAUUGAUUUUGGUACUCAUUUGAGCUGUUUAU
Molecule: long non-coding RNA, 2787 nt
Organism: Helianthus annuus (common sunflower)
Lineage: Eukaryota; Viridiplantae; Streptophyta; Magnoliopsida; Asterales; Asteraceae
Exons: 12
Source: RefSeq, a predicted model, not a curated record